This 600-nucleotide ribosomal RNA is filed under the name uncultured bacterium. Its description in RNAcentral is "bacterial SSU rRNA". It matches the Rfam family "Bacterial small subunit ribosomal RNA", at positions 83 to 679 of the family's 1533-position model. The record is from RNAcentral.
CUACCUGAUUCAGCGGCGGACGGGUGAGUAAUGCCUAGGAAUCUGCCCGGUAGUGGGGGACAACGUUUCGAAAGGAACGCUAAUACCGCAUACGUCCUACGGGAGAAAGUGGGGGAUCUUCGGACCUCACGCUAUCGGAUGAGCCUAGGUCGGAUUAGCUAGUUGGUGAGGUAAUGGCUCACCAAGGCGACGAUCCGUAACUGGUCUGAGAGGAUGAUCAGUCACACUGGAACUGAGACACGGUCCAGACUCCUACGGGAGGCAGCAGUGGGGAAUAUUGGACAAUGGGCGAAAGCCUGAUCCAGCCAUGCCGCGUGUGUGAAGAAGGUCUUCGGAUUGUAAAGCACUUUAAGUUGGGAGGAAGGGCAGUAAGUUAAUACCUUGCUGUUUUGACGUUACUAACAGAAUAAGCACCGGCUAACUUCGUGCCAGCAGCCGCGGUAAUACGAAGGGUGCAAGCGUUAAUCGGAAUUACUGGGCGUAAAGCGCGCGUAGGUGGUUCAGCAAGUUGGAUGUGAAAGCCCCGGGCUCAACCUGGGAACUGCAUCCAAAACUACUGAGCUAGAGUACGGUAGAGGGUGGUGGAAUUUCCUGUGUAGC